GCUUGGCCCUAAACCUCAAUAGUUAAAAUAACAAAACUAUUCGCCAGAAUACUACAAGCAACAGCUUAAAACUCGAAGGACUUGGCGGUGCUUCAUACCCCCUAGAGGAGCCUGUUCUAUAAUCGAUAAACCCCGAUCCACCCCACCCUCUCUUGCUUAGUCUAUAUACCGCCAUCUUCAGCAAACCCUGAUGAAGGCUACGAAGUGAGCGCAAAUGCCCUUCCCCGCAAAAACGUUAGGUCAAGGUGUAACCUAUGAGACGGUAGAAAUGGGCUACAUUUUCUACUUCAGAAAACUCCACGAUAGCCCCUAUGAAACCUAGGGGUCCAAGGAGGAUUUAGCAGUAAAUUAAGAAUAGAGUGCUUAAUUGAACUAGGCCAUAAAGCACGC
RNAcentral lists this ribosomal RNA (390 nucleotides) under Papio ursinus (Chacma baboon). RNAcentral describes it as "partial 12S ribosomal RNA". It matches the Rfam family "Bacterial small subunit ribosomal RNA", at positions 794 to 1384 of the family's 1533-position model. The record is from RNAcentral. Lineage: Eukaryota; Metazoa; Chordata; Mammalia; Primates; Cercopithecidae.